CGAGAGAUCAAGCCACUGAGUAAAAAGGAGAAAAAAAAGAAGCUUCUUACCAGCCAAGAAAGGAAAAGAUAAAAAUGAGAUAGACGAGAUCGGGAUUCGGGAGUAGAUAAGGAGCUCCUUCCUCGCAGGAGGAAAAAGAAGGGGGAUGCAAGAAAACUUGGAGAUCCAGGAGAAGGAAGUGUAUGAACUAAAGAUUUGUACUGAAAGAUUCGAAGAUGAAGGAAGAAGAUCGAAACAAAUUUGGUGUUGAAUCGAGUUGGAUUUGGAGUCAGACUGCGUAUCGGCUGAAAAUAAGAUAUGAGCUGAUCAAGGUUGAUGUGACAUCCCGGCCUAGGGCUUAAUAGGAUUAAUAGAAUACUCAUAUCAACAAGUUGCAACUUCUUUUCCGGACAAUAGGAUUAAUGGAUUGUCGUCCCCUUUUUUUUACAAUGAUCCGGGGUUUAUAUUUAUACCCUGAGUACAAACUUAGUCCAUUAUGGACAUGACUUAAACUUUCCUAAAGAUAAAAUACAAACAAGCCCACAUGGCGGACUCUUGCCAUAUCUCUAACUCAAACUGACAUAAAUAUCCUAACUAAUAGAUACAAUUACCUUAAACGGGCUCAAUCUCUAAUUGGCAAUGAUGGUUAUCUCGAACUAGACCCAAACCGAGCCCAAGUCAUAUCGUAUCGUAUCGGCCACUUGCCAUAUUGGCUAAGUCAAAUUCCAUUCCAGCCGAUACGAUACCCAGCCGAUGCGCAGUCCGACUCUAAAUCCAACUCGAUCUUGUACCAAGUCCGUUUUGAUCUUAUUUCUUCUUCUCCGAGUCUGAUGAGGACAUCAACACCAUCGAUACAUCCACGUCUCCACAAGUUCAACUUCAAGGAGUAAUGGAGAGGAUCCAAAGGGGAGAGGAUUCAUACGGGCUGGAUUCGGACUGCAGGACAGCACCAACUUCUGACGACCUCCACGGCUUCAUACGAACUCCGAUUUGGGUAUGUAAAUACUUCAUGAAAAGCUUAUCAAGUCUACUUUCAAAUAAAUCUAGCCUCACAUCUGUAUCUAUUCUGGAGAGGCCACAAUCGUCGUUUUACUACAGAGACCUUUUUCUGUCCAUGGUGUUGUGUCACCUUAUUUGGGCCCAAUGUGCCAUGUAUCCAAUUGAGUCCGUUUGGGACGCGUCUAGGGUUAGAGGAUGACCUGAACUCGUCCUCCCACCUAUAUAUCUUCCUUAGCCACCAUAGAACAAUUUGGGUUUUGUUCAGAUCUAGUUUAGUUUCAUUACUUGCCGAGUAAUUCCGUGAUCGAUUAGAUCGCCAUUCUGCUUGUUAUGGAACCCCACCUAUGAUACUUUUGGUUGAUUCAAUCCUACAUCUUUAUUUGCAAAUUGAGUUACUUGUUCAUCUUGUUCUUGCUAGUUCUCGAUUGCUUGUAGGAACAAAUACCCUCGUGGUUGGGCUGACCGUGCAUCCGUCAAGAUUCACGAUCGCCUCUAGAGUCAUGCAACGAUUGCUAACGCGCAACAUCCCUGGAUAGUUGUAGUCGGAUCGCCAACGUCGCUCCAUCAAUCGACUUAUCCUCUCAUCGAAAGAUCGGGACACCCUCAUGCACAUAAGGUGGUAUCAUAGCUUUUAGGUCGCUUGGUGAGAGAUUUAUUGUUUCACAAUUUUUUUCCUACAGUCCAGAAAAGCCAAAAAAAUAAAAUAAAAAAAGUCGCAUAUCUCUCCUCAGCACUAGAGACAGAAAGCAAAAAAAAAAAAGCAAGAAGAUCCGACUUGUGUGAGCACCUCUCGCCAUUCCCUGUUGUCACCACCUUCCUAUCAUCGCUCCUGUUUGGGUUUGUAUAUUAUGGCGUUCUUUGUGGUUAGGCUCGUGUCUCUACUUCGGCUAGCCUAGGACCAGCACUGUACCAACCUUGAAUGAUUAUUCAACUUGCUUUUGUCUAAUGCGGUUUCUAGUUUUUCUUUGUCUCAUACACAGCCUACCCAUAGCUCCACCGGUUCGACUAACACUUGACAGGGAUUAAGCGACCAAGGCAUCAAUACACCUUUCUCCAGAGGUUCGUCCAGUCCGACGGUUGCCGGCACCUCCUAUUUAGUGCGGUGAGAAUCGGGAGCUUGUUGAACAUGUUGAGAGUGAGUGACUUGAUACAACCACGUCCAAGUAGUUUUGUACAUUUUAUUUUUUUUCCUUUUGUCAUAUAGUAUUUGUUUUAUCUGUUUCUUUUAUCUAACCAUGUCAGGUGAAGAUUCCCACUCACCCCAAACAAGAGGGGUCUGAUGCAAAAUUAUAUUGUUACAGUGGGCCUUGGGCCCCUAGCUACGCCACCCUAGGGUUAUCCUUUUAUUUUUAAGGACAUUCUGAGUAUGCUAUCUAUUAUAUUA
This is a long non-coding RNA of Oryza sativa Japonica Group (Japanese rice), 2362 nucleotides long. RefSeq lists it as uncharacterized. The record is from RefSeq and is a predicted model, not a curated record. NCBI's taxonomy places the organism in Eukaryota, Viridiplantae, Streptophyta, Magnoliopsida, Poales, Poaceae.